CCUACGGGGGGCUGCAGUGGGGAAUAUUGGACAAUGGGGGCAACCCUGAUCCAGCCAUGCCGCGUGUGUGAAGAAGGCCCUCGGGUUGUAAAGCACUUUCAGUGAGGAAGAACGCCUGGUGGUUAAUACCCAUCAGGAAAGACAUCACUCACAGAAGAAGCACCGGCUAACUCCGUGCCAGCAGCCGCGGUAAUACGGAGGGUGCGAGCGUUAAUCGGAAUUACUGGGCGUAAAGCGCGCGUAGGUGGCUUGAUAAGCCGGUUGUGAAAGCCCCGGGCUCAACCUGGGAACGGCAUCCGGAACUGUCAAUCUAGAGUGCAGGAGAGGAAGGUAGAAUUCCCGGUGUAGCGGUGAAAUGCGUAGAGAUCGGGAGGAAUACCAGUGGCGAAGGCGGCCUUCUGGACUGACACUGACACUGAGGUGCGAAAGCGUGGGUAGCAAACAGGAUUAGAUACCCUAGUAGUC
RNAcentral lists this ribosomal RNA (465 nucleotides) under Vreelandella stevensii. RNAcentral describes it as "partial 16S ribosomal RNA". It matches the Rfam family "Bacterial small subunit ribosomal RNA", at positions 338 to 795 of the family's 1533-position model. The record is from RNAcentral. Lineage: Bacteria; Pseudomonadati; Pseudomonadota; Gammaproteobacteria; Oceanospirillales; Halomonadaceae.